GAAAUGCUAUAAUUAAUGUGAAUUGCAGAAUUCAGUGAAUCAUCGAGUCUUUGAACGCACAUUGCGCCCCCUGGUAUUCCGGGGGGCAUGCCUGUCCGAGCGUCAUUGCUGCCCUCAAGCACGGCUUGUGUGUUGGGCUUCCGUCCCUGGCAACGGGGACGGGCCCAAAAGGCAGUGGCGGCACCAUGUCUGGUCCUCGAGCGUAGGGGGCUUUGUCACCCGCUCCCGUAGGUCCAGCUGGCAGCUAGCCUCGCAACCAAUCUUUUUAACCAGGUUGACCUCGGAUCAGGUAGGGAUACCCGCUGAACUUAAGC
Molecule: unclassified non-coding RNA, 314 nt
Filed under: plant metagenome
Description: partial contains 5.8S ribosomal RNA, internal transcribed spacer 2, and large subunit ribosomal RNA
Rfam family: 5.8S ribosomal RNA (bases 1-105)
Source: RNAcentral